CCUACGGGAGGCAGCAGUGGGGAAUAUUGGGCAAUGGGCGCAAGCCUGACCCAGCAACGCCGCGUGAAGGAAGAAGGCUUUCGGGUUGUAAACUUCUUUUCUCAGGGACGAAGAAAGUGACGGUACUUGCGGAAUAAGCCACGCCUAACUACGUGCCAGCAGCCGCGGGAUUACGUAGGUGGCAAGCGUUAUCCGGAUUUAUUGGGUGUAAAGGGCUUGUAGGCGGGAGCGCAAGUCAGAUGUGAAAACUCAGGGCUCAACCCUGAGCCUGCAUUUGAAACUGUGUUUCUUGAGUGCUGGAGAGGCAGUCGGAAUUCCGUGUGUAGCGGUGAAAUGCGUAGAUAUACGGAGGAACACCAGUGGCGAAGGCGGAUUGCUGGACAGUAACUGACGCUGAGGCGCGAAAGCGUGGGGAGCAAACAGGAUUAGAUACCCCUGUAGUC
This 443-nucleotide ribosomal RNA is filed under the name uncultured bacterium. RNAcentral's name for it is "partial 16S ribosomal RNA". It matches the Rfam family "Bacterial small subunit ribosomal RNA", at positions 338 to 795 of the family's 1533-position model. The record is from RNAcentral.